AUGACAAACACAAUCAAAUGAUCAUGUGACCACUUAAUAAAUCCCUCAUUUCCUCACAAAAUCAAACUACAAUAAUUUCAUGCAAUUUUUAUAUUCACCUUCCAAUUUUACAACAGUAUAAUAAACCCAAUGAUUUAAGGUGUUCAAUAAACAGUUAUCUAGAAAGGAAAUAAAAUAGUCAGUACUUUUAUCAAACAAUAGAGACAAACUUUGCUCAAUCAAUAGUACCUGCAUUGACAGGUAAAUUUUUACUUUGCCCCAGAGUGCUCAGAUUUUUAUCAAACUUGUGACUUAUUGUGUAUUGGAAAUACUGUCACUAUCCAGUAAUCAAUCCUCUGAUUAGAGUCAGAUUCUUUUACACAAUGUGUGACAAUACUAUCCAUCUUUAAUGACAUUUUUUCACAGUCACAUAGAACUACUAACACUUUUAAUGGUAAAGUAGAAAAUAAAUGACUCAAUUUAGACAUUUGUUGGAGCUUCAGAUGUAAUUAAGUCAUUAGCUAUGGAAUUAUUCUUCAGGAACACAACUGUAUAAACACUUAAAAUAAACCAAUUAAUGGCAAUUGUGACUUCAGAUUGUUAAAAAGGAUGCUGCCUUUUCACACAAUGCCAUCAACAAAUUUUCAAAAGUUCAUAUUCAAAUCUCAACACAAAACCUUUGUACACACAACACAGUUGGAAUAUGAAAGAUGCCUAUUUAGUACCUGGACUUAAUGAGUUUUGAUGACAAUAUCAAAUGACCAUUUUAUAUCACUGAUCACUUUGAUAUCACUUAUUGUCAAUAUGAUGAGACGUAUAAAGACUUGUGUCAACCAAGAACAAAGAGACAGAUCAAUAGGAAUUAAUAACUGAAAGAAACAUUUAGCCACAUAUAAUUUCAAUUUACUAUAUAUAAAUUUUAUGACAGACUAUUAUUUUUUUAAAAUGUCUAUAAAAAUCAUGCAAGAUUAA
Molecule: long non-coding RNA, 951 nt
Organism: Mytilus trossulus (common blue mussel)
Lineage: Eukaryota; Metazoa; Mollusca; Bivalvia; Mytilida; Mytilidae
Exons: 2
Source: RefSeq, a predicted model, not a curated record